This 953-nucleotide ribosomal RNA is filed under the name Escherichia coli. Its description in RNAcentral is "partial 23S ribosomal RNA". It matches the Rfam family "Bacterial large subunit ribosomal RNA", at positions 938 to 1875 of the family's 2925-position model. The record is from RNAcentral. Lineage: Bacteria; Pseudomonadati; Pseudomonadota; Gammaproteobacteria; Enterobacterales; Enterobacteriaceae.
ACCAACCCGAUGCAAACUGCGAAUACCGGAGAAUGUUAUCACGGGAGACACACGGCGGGUGCUAACGUCCGUCGUGAAGAGGGAAACAACCCAGACCGCCAGCUAAGGUCCCAAAGUCAUGGUUAAGUGGGAAACGAUGUGGGAAGGCCCAGACAGCCAGGAUGUUGGCUUAGAAGCAGCCAUCAUUUAAAGAAAGCGUAAUAGCUCACUGGUCGAGUCGGCCUGCGCGGAAGAUGUAACGGGGCUAAACCAUGCACCGAAGCUGCGGCAGCGACACUAUGUGUUGUUGGGUAGGGGAGCGUUCUGUAAGCCUGUGAAGGUGGCCUGUGAGGGUUGCUGGAGGUAUCAGAAGUGCGAAUGCUGACAUAAGUAACGAUAAAGCGGGUGAAAAGCCCGCUCGCCGGAAGACCAAGGGUUCCUGUCCAACGUUAAUCGGGGCAGGGUGAGUCGACCCCUAAGGCGAGGCCGAAAGGCGUAGUCGAUGGGAAACAGGUUAAUAUUCCUGUACUUGGUGUUACUGCGAAGGGGGGACGGAGAAGGCUAUGUUGGCCGGGCGACGGUUGUCCCGGUUUAAGCGUGUAGGCUGGUUUUCCAGGCAAAUCCGGAAAACCAAGGCUGAGGCGUGAUGACGAGGCACUACGGUGCUGAAGCGACAAAUGCCCUGCUUCCAGGAAAAGCCUCUAAGCAUCAGGUAACAUCAAAUCGUACCCCAAACCGACACAGGUGGUCAGGUAGAGAAUACCAAGGCGCUUGAGAGAACUCGGGUGAAGGAACUAGGCAAAAUGGUGCCGUAACUUCGGGAGAAGGCACGCUGAUAUGUAGGUGAAGCGACUUGCUCGUGGAGCUGAAAUCAGUCGAAGAUACCAGCUGGCUGCAACUGUUUAUUAAAAACACAGCACUGUGCAAACACGAAAGUGGACGUAUACGGUGUGACGCCUGCCCGGUGCCGGAAG